RNAcentral lists this long non-coding RNA (306 nucleotides) under Mytilus galloprovincialis (Mediterranean mussel). Lineage: Eukaryota; Metazoa; Mollusca; Bivalvia; Mytilida; Mytilidae. The record is from RNAcentral.
GGCGUCAAACAUUGGCAUAUAGACCGGCGUCUCAAAUACGUGCAGUCAUUUUAUUCAGAACUUGGAAUUAUUUAUAUAAUGCUGUACGUGACUUUAAAUCUCGAUUUACUUAACUUAUGCCGGCGUCACACAUUGGCAUAUAGACCGGCGUCUCAAAUUCGUUCAAGAGACUUAGCGUGCAUUCACUCCAUCUACGUUAGACAAACGCCAGACAUACGCCAACAUACGUUACUUGAACGCCUGAUAAACGCUUAGGUACGCUUAUCGUCGGAGCUAUUUACGUCAAUGUUUGACGCCGGUAUUAAC